UACGUAGGGUGCAAGCGUUAAUCGGAAUUACUGGGCGUAAAGCGUGCGUAGGCGGUUCGUUAAGUCUGUCGUGAAAGCCCUGGGCUCAACCUGGGAAUUGCGAUGGAUACUGGCGAGCUAGAGUACGGUAGAGGAUGGUGGAAUUCCCGGUGUAGCGGUGAAAUGCGUAGAGAUCGGGAGGAACACCCGUGGCGAAGGCGGCCAUCUGGACCAGUACUGACGCUGAGGCACGAAAGCGUGGGGAGCAAACAGG
Molecule: ribosomal RNA, 253 nt
Filed under: uncultured bacterium
Lineage: Bacteria
Description: partial 16S ribosomal RNA
Rfam family: Bacterial small subunit ribosomal RNA
Source: RNAcentral